RNAcentral lists this unclassified non-coding RNA (380 nucleotides) under uncultured Acidobacteriota bacterium. Its description in RNAcentral is "uncultured Acidobacteria bacterium contains 16S-23S intergenic spacer region". Lineage: Bacteria; Pseudomonadati; Acidobacteriota. The record is from RNAcentral.
UCCGGUUUGUCACCGGCAGUCUACUUAGAGUGCCUUGCAAGCAAGUAGCAACUAAGUAUAGGGGUUGCGCUCGUUACGGGACUUAACCCAACAUCUCACGGCACGAGCUGACAACAGCCAUGCAGCACCUGUGCUGGCUCCCCUUGCGAGGUCAUCCCCGUUUCCGGUUCUUACCACCAGCAUGUCAAACCUGGGUAAGGUUCUUCGCGUUGCGUCGAAUUGAACCACAUGCUCCACCGCUUGUGCGGGUCCCUGUCAAUUCCUUUGAGUUUCAGUCUUGCGACCGUACUCCCCAGGCGGAAUGCUUAAAGCGUUAGCGACGGCACCCGGGGACUAUAUAACCCCAGACACCAAGCAUUCAUCGUUUAAGGCUAGGACUA